Biomphalaria glabrata is the source of this 1277-nucleotide long non-coding RNA. RefSeq lists it as uncharacterized. The record is from RefSeq and is a predicted model, not a curated record. Lineage: Eukaryota; Metazoa; Mollusca; Gastropoda; Planorbidae. The transcript is spliced from 4 exons.
CUAGCCUCUGGGACAAAAAAAUCAAAUUUCUUAUGUUUAUUCAAAUAUUCUUAGACAUAUAUUAUUUUAAGCAGUAAAUUUUGUGUGAUUGGAAAUAUUUUCAUUAUUUUUAUUGUUUAGCACAAUUUUUUUGUUUAUAGCGUCACUUUUGGAGGAAGGUUUCCAUGCUGCCUUUUCAAUAGUAAAAAAAAGUUGCUUGAGCCUGAAUUUGUACUCAAGCCUCCACAACAGAAGGCAGAGUUGUUGCUACUGAAAUAUUCAAGUACUAGGUAGUUAUUAAAAUAGAAGUUUUUUUUGAAACAUUCUUAGACAUAUACUAUUAUAAGCAUAGUAUAAAAAAUAUUCAUUUAUUAGAAUUUUCAAAAAUUUCCUUUACAAAUUCAUGUUUUACAUAGAUCCAUAUGUUAAUCUAACUAUUCUGAAAUAGAGAUGCGUAUUAUUUUUUUUUUUUCAGGCAACCUGUUUUACUCUUACAAUAUUUACUUCAUAGAUCAAUUUCUCCUCUUUUCAUAAUAACAGAGUGACAAUGAAUUAAAAUCACAAGACAUUAAAUCUGGUAAAUCCUGUGCUGACCCUUAUAGAGUCUAGUCUAGCGUGAUCUCCGUGACCAUUUAUCAAAGGUGCCAAGUCUAGUGUACACUAGUGACAUAGGUAGAAUGUUAAGAUGAACACACAGAGACAGGUCAGCCCCAUGGUGUGUGUUGAACUGUGUCCAAAGCAGAAAUGAGAGACAGAUUUAUGUUUCCUGUUUGAUGCUUGACUCUGGAUAAUUAUUUUAGUUAACAGAUUCAUUUGUCGUGAAGCUUGAAUGUCAGCAUUUUAAAAUACAAGGAAAGGAGAUGAAACAUCAACAAAGGUGAAACAAAACAAGAAGGAGAAAAAAAAAAGCCCAAUAAAGAAGGACCAAUAAUUUAGACAACAAUUAUGGAAAAGAAUAGGCUAUUAAAGAAAUGGGGACAUAAAAAACAAAAGACCUAGAUUAGAAAUCAGUCAGAAAGAGAUGCUAACAUGCAUUAAAGAAGAGAGUGAGCUGUGAAAACAAGGUACCUCAUCCUAUGGAUCAUUCUGCCAGCAAAAGACUGACUUUUGGUUUGGAGGAUGUUUGCCAGCAACUAAAACCUUACUGUAGCGCACUUGUACAACCACCCCGAAGCAACAGAGCUAGAGGCGGUUUGUGACAUUUGUCUCUAGCAUCACUACUUCUGUGAAUGAUUAUUUUAAGACCAAUAGUUGUAAAAACAUAGUUUGGUAUAAAUAAAAUAACCCAGAAAUUUGAA